GUCGAGCGAACAGAUAAGGAGCUUGCUCCUUUGACGUUAGCGGCGGACGGGUGAGUAACACGUGGGUAACCUACCUAUAAGACUGGGAUAACUCCGGGAAACCGGGGCUAAUACCGGAUAAUAUUUUGAACCGCAUGGUUCAAUAGUGAAAGACGGUUUCGGCUGUCACUUAUAGAUGGACCCGCGCCGUAUUAGCUAGUUGGUAAGGUAACGGCUUACCAAGGCGACGAUACGUAGCCGACCUGAGAGGGUGAUCGGCCACACUGGAACUGAGACACGGUCCAGACUCCUACGGGAGGCAGCAGUAGGGAAUCUUCCGCAAUGGGCGAAAGCCUGACGGAGCAACGCCGCGUGAGUGAUGAAGGUCUUCGGAUCGUAAAACUCUGUUAUUAGGGAAGAACAUAUGUGUAAGUAACUGUGCACAUCUUGACGGUACCUAAUCAGAAAGCCACGGCUAACUACGUGCCAGCAGCCGCGGUAAUACGUAGGUGGCAAGCGUUAUCCGGAAUUAUUGGGCGUAAAGCGCGCGUAGGCGGUUUUUUAAGUCUGAUGUGAAAGCCCACGGCUCAACCGUGGAGGGUCAUUGGAAACUGGAAAACUUGAGUGCAGAAGAGGAAAGUGGAAUUCCAUGUGUAGCGGUGAAAUGCGCAGAGAUAUGGAGGAACACCAGUGGCGAAGGCGACUUUCUGGUCUGUA
Molecule: ribosomal RNA, 696 nt
Filed under: uncultured Staphylococcus sp.
Lineage: Bacteria; Bacillati; Bacillota; Bacilli; Caryophanales; Staphylococcaceae
Description: bacterial SSU rRNA
Rfam family: Bacterial small subunit ribosomal RNA
Source: RNAcentral